CGACCCGGCCAUAGCGGCUGGGCAACACCCGGACUCGUCAGAUCCCGGCAGUUAAGCCAGCCGCGUUAGGUGUGGCUGUGGCUU
Molecule: ribosomal RNA, 84 nt
Filed under: Ignisphaera aggregans DSM 17230
Lineage: Archaea; Thermoproteati; Thermoproteota; Thermoprotei; Desulfurococcales; Desulfurococcaceae
Source: RNAcentral